This 484-nucleotide ribosomal RNA is filed under the name uncultured bacterium. RNAcentral's name for it is "partial 16S ribosomal RNA". It matches the Rfam family "Bacterial small subunit ribosomal RNA", at positions 28 to 523 of the family's 1533-position model. The record is from RNAcentral.
GACGAACGCUGGCGGCGUGCUUAACACAUGCAAGUCGAACGAUGAAGCCGGAGCUUGCUCUGGUGAAUUAGUGGCGAACGGGUGAGUAACACGUGAGUAACCUGCCCUUGACUCUGGGAUAACUGCGGGAAACUGUAGCUAAUACCGGAUACGACCCUCGGAGGCAUCUCCUGGGGGUGGAAAGAAUUUCGGUCAAGGAUGGACUCGCGGCCGAUCAGGUAGUUGGUGAGGUAAAGGCUCACCAAGGCCACGACGGGUAGCCGGCCUGAGAGGGUGACCGGCCACACUGGGACGGAGACACGGCCCAGACUCCUACGGGAGGCAGCAGUGGGGAAUAUUGCACAAUGGGCGCAAGCCUGAUGCAGCAACGCCGCGUGAGGGAUGACGGCCUUCGGGUUGUAAACCUCUUUUAGCAGGGAAGAAGCGAAAGUGACGGUACCUGCAGAAAAAGCACCGGCUAACUACGUGCCAGCCGCCGCCGUAA